RNAcentral lists this ribosomal RNA (434 nucleotides) under uncultured Lachnospiraceae bacterium. RNAcentral describes it as "partial 16S ribosomal RNA". It matches the Rfam family "Bacterial small subunit ribosomal RNA", at positions 341 to 792 of the family's 1533-position model. Lineage: Bacteria; Bacillati; Bacillota; Clostridia; Lachnospirales; Lachnospiraceae. The record is from RNAcentral.
ACGGAAGGCAGCAGUGGGGGAUAUUGCACAAUGGGGGAAACCCUGAUCCAGCGACGCCGCGUGAGUGAAGAAGUAUUUCGGUAUGUAGAGCUCUAUCAGCAAGGAAGAAAAUGACGGUACUUGACUAAGAAGCUCCGGCUAAAUACGUGCCAGCAGCCGCGGUAAUACGUAUGGAGCAAGCGUUAUCCGGAUUUACUGGGUGUAAAGGGAGCGUAGACGGCAAAGCAAGUCUGAAGUGAAAUCCCGGGGCUCAACCCCGGAACUGCUUUGGAAACUGUUUAGCUAGAGUGCAGGAGAGGUAAGCGGAAUUCCUAGUGUAGCGGUAAAAUGCGUAGAUAUUAGGAGGAACACCAGUGGCGAAGGCGGCUCACUGGACUGUAACUGACGUUGAGGCUCGAAAGCGUGGGGAGCAAACAGGAUUAGAUACCCUGGUA